AGAUGGCGACCGGCGCACGGGUGAGUAACACGUAUCCAACCUGCCGAUGACUCGGGGAUAGCCUUUCGAAAGAAAGAUUAAUACCCGAUGGCAUAGUUCUUCCGCAUGGUGGAACUAUUAAAGAAUUUCGGUCAUCGAUGGGGAUGCGUUCCAUUAGGUUGUUGGCGGGGUAACGGCCCACCAAGCCUUCGAUGGAUAGGGGUUCUGAGAGGAAGGUCCCCCACAUUGGACUGAGACACGGCCAAACUCCUACGGGAGGCAGCAUG
This 266-nucleotide ribosomal RNA is filed under the name uncultured bacterium. RNAcentral describes it as "partial 16S ribosomal RNA". It matches the Rfam family "Bacterial small subunit ribosomal RNA", at positions 86 to 353 of the family's 1533-position model. The record is from RNAcentral.